Molecule: ribosomal RNA, 427 nt
Filed under: uncultured bacterium
Lineage: Bacteria
Description: partial 16S ribosomal RNA
Rfam family: Bacterial small subunit ribosomal RNA
Source: RNAcentral
UGGGGAAUAUUGCACAAUGGGCGCAAGCCUGAUGCAGCCAUGUCGCGUGUAUGAAGAAGGCCUUCGGGUUGUAAAGUACUUUCAGCGGGGAGGAAGGUGUUGUGGUUAAUAACCUCAGCAAUUGACGUUACCCGCAGAAGAAGCACCGGCUAACUCCGUGCCAGCAGCCGCGGUAAUACGGAGGGUGCAAGCGUUAAUCGGAAUUACUGGGCGUAAAGCGCACGCAGGCGGUCUGUCAAGUCGGAUGUGAAAUCCCCGGGCUCAACCUGGGAACUGCAUCCGAAACUGGCAGGCUUGAGUCUUGUAGAGGGGGGUAGAAUUCCAGGUGUAGCGGUGAAAUGCGUAGAGAUCUGGAGGAAUACCGGUGGCGAAGGCGGCCCCCUGGACAAAGACUGACGCUCAGGUGCGAAAGCGUGGGGAGCAAACA